UGGGGAAUAUUGGACAAUGGGCGAAAGCCUGAUCCAGCCAUGCCGCGUGUGUGAAGAAGGUCUUCGGAUUGUAAAGCACUUUAAGUUGGGAGGAAGGGCAUUAACCUAAUACGUUAGUGUUUUGACGUUACCGACAGAAUAAGCACCGGCUAACUCUGUGCCAGCAGCCGCGGUAAUACAGAGGGUGCAAGCGUUAAUCGGAAUUACUGGGCGUAAAGCGCGCGUAGGUGGUUUGUUAAGUUGGAUGUGAAAUCCCCGGGCUCAACCUGGGAACUGCAUUCAAAACUGACUGACUAGAGUAUGGUAGAGGGUGGUGGAAUUUCCUGUGUAGCGGUGAAAUGCGUACAUAUAGGAAGGAACACCAGUGGCGAAGGCGACCACCUGGACUAAUACUGACACUGAGGUGCGAAAGCGUGGGGAGCAAACA
This 427-nucleotide ribosomal RNA is filed under the name uncultured bacterium. RNAcentral's name for it is "partial 16S ribosomal RNA". It matches the Rfam family "Bacterial small subunit ribosomal RNA", at positions 355 to 774 of the family's 1533-position model. The record is from RNAcentral.